GCUUGCUCUCGGGUGACGAGCGGCGGACGGGUGAGUAAUGUGUGGGAAACUGCCUGAUGGGGGGGGAUAACUACUGGAAACGGUAGCUAAUACCGCAUAACGUCGCGAGAGCCAAGAGGGGGACCUUCUGGCCUCUUGCCAUCAGAUGUGCCCAGAUGGGAUUAGCUAGUAGGUGGGGUAACGGCUCACCUAUGCGACAAUCCCUAUCUGGGCUGAGAGGAUGACCAGCCACACUGGAACUGAGACACGGUCCAGACUCCUACGGGAGGCAGCAGUGGGGAAUAUUGCGCAAUGGGCGCAAGCCUGAUGCACCCAUGCCCCGUGUAUGAAAAAAGCCUUCUGGUUGUAAAGUACUUUCUCCGGGGAGGAAGGCGAUAAGGUUAAUAACCUUGUCGAUUGACGUUACCCGCAGAARAAGCACCGGCUAACUCCGUGCCAGCAGCCGCGGUAAUACAGAGGGUGCAAGCGUUAAUCUCAAUUACUGGGCGUAAAGCGCACGCAGGCGGUCUGUCAAGUCGGAUGUGAAAUCCCCGGGCUCAACCUGGGAACUGCAUUCGAAACUGGCAGGCUAGAGUCUUGUAGAGGGGGGUAGAAUUCCAGGUGUAGCGGUGAAAUGCGUAGAGAUCUGGAGGAAUACCGGUGGCGAAGGCGGCCCCCUGGACAAAGACUGACGCUCAGGUGCGAAAGCGUGGGGAGCAAACAGGAUU
RNAcentral lists this ribosomal RNA (707 nucleotides) under Enterobacter sp. 953(2010). RNAcentral describes it as "bacterial SSU rRNA". It matches the Rfam family "Bacterial small subunit ribosomal RNA", at positions 74 to 779 of the family's 1533-position model. Lineage: Bacteria; Pseudomonadati; Pseudomonadota; Gammaproteobacteria; Enterobacterales; Enterobacteriaceae. The record is from RNAcentral.